RNAcentral lists this long non-coding RNA (227 nucleotides) under Durio zibethinus. RNAcentral's name for it is "long non-coding RNA (DZIB_LNC000570)". The record is from RNAcentral. Lineage: Eukaryota; Viridiplantae; Streptophyta; Magnoliopsida; Malvales; Malvaceae.
CCGAAUAUUGUUGCCCGUCACCAGCGAUGGAAAUCGAGACUGCCACUAGCCAUCACCAAUUUUACCGCUUUGCGCUGUCAGCAGUGCCUCCUUUCUCCUUCCCUCUUUCGUGUAUCCCAUUUUCUUUCUCUUCUCCUUGGAUUUCAAUCAAUAGCCCAGAAAAUGAUUAAAGAUUGUCGCCGCUGUAGUUGACGCCACCGAAAAGCCUCCAAAAUCCUUUCAUUUUU